CCUUGUGGUCGGUGUACAGGUGGUGCAUGGCUGUCGUCAGCUCGUGUCGUGAGAUGUUGGGUUAAGUCCCGCAACGAGCGCAACCCUUGUCCUGUGUUGCCAGCGUGCCCUUCGGGGUGACGGGGACUCACAGGAGACCGCCGGGGUCAACUCGGAGGAAGGUGGGGACGACGUCAAGUCAUCAUGCCCCUUAUGUCUUGGGCUGCACACGUGCUACAAUGGCAGGUACAAUGAGCUGCGAUACCGUGAGGUGGAGCGAAUCUCAAAAAGCCUGUCUCAGUUCGGAUUGGGGUCUGCAACUCGACCCCAUGAAGUCGGAGUUGCUAGUAAUCGCAGAUCAGCAUUGCUGCGGUGAAUACGUUCCCGGGU
RNAcentral lists this ribosomal RNA (369 nucleotides) under Streptomyces sp. RTD10. Its description in RNAcentral is "bacterial SSU rRNA". It matches the Rfam family "Bacterial small subunit ribosomal RNA", at positions 1014 to 1378 of the family's 1533-position model. The record is from RNAcentral. Lineage: Bacteria; Bacillati; Actinomycetota; Actinomycetes; Kitasatosporales; Streptomycetaceae.